UUUAUCGGAGAGUUUGAUCCUGGCUCAGGACGAACGCUGGCGGCGUGCCUAAUACAUGCAAGUCGAGCGGACAGAUGGGAGCUUGCUCCCUGAUGUUAGCGGCGGACGGGUGAGUAACACGUGGGUAACCUGCCUGUAAGACUGGGAUAACUCCGGGAAACCGGGGCUAAUACCGGAUGCUUGUUUGAACCGCAUGGUUCAAACAUAAAAGGUGGCUUCGGCUACCACUUACAGAUGGACCCGCGGCGCAUUAGCUAGUUGGUGAGGUAAUGGCGCACCAAGGGAACGAGGCGUAGCCGACCUGAGGGGGUGAUCGGCCACACUGGGACUGAGACACGGCCCAGACUCCUACGGGAGGCAGCAGUAGGGAAUCUUCCGCAAUGGACGAAAGUCUGACGGAGCAACGCCGCGUGAGUGAUGAAGGUUUUCGGAUCGUAAAGCUCUGUUGUUAGGGAAGAACAAGUACCGUUCGAAUAGGGCGGUACCUUGACGGUACCUAACCAGAAAGCCACGGCUAACUACGUGCCAGCAGCCGCGGUAAUACGUAGGUGGCAAGCGUUGUCCGGAAUUAUUGGGCGUAAAGGGCUCGCAGGCGGUUCCUUAAGUCUGAUGUGAAAGCCCCCGGCUCAACCGGGGAGGGUCAUUGGAAACUGGGGAACUUGAGUGCAGAAGAGGAGAGUGGAAUUCCACGUGUAGCGGUGAAAUGCGUAGAGAUGUGGAGGAACACCAGUGGCGAAGGCGACUCUCUGGUCUGUAACUGACGCUGAGGAGCGAAAGCGUGGGGAGCGAACAGGAUUAGAUACCCUGGUAGUCCACGCCGUAAACGAUGAGUGCUAAGUGUUAGGGGGUUUCCGCCCCUUAGUGCUGCAGCUAACGCAUUAAGCACUCCGCCUGGGGAGUACGGUCGCAAGAC
Molecule: ribosomal RNA, 913 nt
Filed under: Bacillus subtilis
Lineage: Bacteria; Bacillati; Bacillota; Bacilli; Caryophanales; Bacillaceae
Description: bacterial SSU rRNA
Rfam family: Bacterial small subunit ribosomal RNA
Source: RNAcentral